Molecule: ribosomal RNA, 152 nt
Filed under: Graphium kuroshium
Lineage: Eukaryota; Fungi; Ascomycota; Sordariomycetes; Microascales; Graphiaceae
Description: 5.8S ribosomal RNA
Rfam family: 5.8S ribosomal RNA (bases 1-136)
About the family: 5.8S ribosomal RNA (5.8S rRNA) is a component of the large subunit of the eukaryotic ribosome. It is transcribed by RNA polymerase I as part of the 45S precursor that also contains 18S and 28S rRNA.
Source: RNAcentral
UCUUGGCUGUGGCAUCGAUGAAGAACGCAGCGAAAUGCGAUAACUAAUGUGAAUUGCAGAAUUCAGUGAAUCAUCGAGUCUUUGAACGCACAUUGCGCCCGCUGGUAUUCCGGCGGGCAUGCCUGUCCGAGCGUCAUUUCGUCCCUCAAGCC